CUAAUUGCAAAAAUUAAGAAAGUUUUUGAAGUCAAAUUAUAAUUAUUAGAAAAGAUAGGGGUCAAAAUUGAAUAAAAGAUAAAGUUUAGGGACCAAAUUAUAAUUAAAAUAAGGACCUAAUUGAAAUAAAUUUAAAAUAUUUAAGGCUACAGUGAAAUUAUUCAAAAGAUCAAGGACUAAACUGAAAAUUCAUUUCUGGUCUAACGGGAAAUGGGCUUUAGGGCCAAAUCCACUUUGGCCCAAUGAAUUAGGAGCAGGCCAAAUGGUGGGUUAAAGCACCAAGCCCAAACAAAAGUCAAGUUUUAGCCCAGUUUUUAGCCCAAAAACACAAAAAAUAGUGUCCAAAUGACUUAAGAAAGAUCAAACAUACCAACAAAAUUAGAAAAUAAAAGAUCUAAGAAUAACUAAGAAACUUAUGAAAAUUCCGACGGGUUGACCCACCGGAAACAGAAAAAAUUGUGGCCAACAUGGUCGGAAUUCUCAGUAGAAAAUUUUUCCAGGGGCUUUUUAGCUCAACAAUUUACAUCUACCAACUCCUUUCAUCAUUCUAAACAUGUUUAUAUCAUCAAAAUCACUUUAAAAGCAUUGUAUUUUUCAGAAAAAAAAAGAAACAAAGUUUAAGAAAAAAUAAAAAAAUAUAUAUAUAAAAAAAAGAAACAACACCCACAUAUCAACUUUCUACUUUUCAUCAAGAAACUCAACAAAACUUCAUAAAAGUUUAUACCAAUGCCCUACAUGGAUCUAAAAGGGAAAGAAAUAUGACAAAUCCCAAACCAAAAACAUUUCAAAGGAAUUGCCUUUGUCAAACUAAAAAAUAUGAAGAAUCAAAUUUCAAAAACUAGACAAAUAUCAUAUGAAAGUGAGAAAAAAUUAUCAAGUAAAGUUACCUACAACUCCUUGGAAGAUUUCAAGUCAAAAUAAACCAUGAGAGACCACCGGAGUUCAAGAUUCAUGAAAUGUUUUCUCUUUGAAAUGAAGAUUUUCGAAAACUAGGGUUGAUUUUCUCCCAAUUUUGACACCAAAUUUGGCAGCCUUAAAGCUGUUUUCUAAUGAAACUUUCAAAACAAAAGUUUUCUACUGCAUCUAUAGAUUAUCCAAAAAAACAAGAAUCAAUCAAAAAGGGGUCAAAAUAAAGGAGAAAAGUGGGCACGAACAGGGCUGCUUGGUUAGACCUGGUUCAAAAUUUGCAGAAAUUUUUUUUUUCUCUUUCCUUGCCUUUUCUCUCUCUCUCUCUCUCUCUCUCUCUCACCCUAAAGCUGCAUUUUUUUUUGGUUGUAUGAAGCCAAGAAACCCUAAACCUAAGAUGAAGGGUUGAGAUUUAUUUUUUGAAAGUGAUGAUGUGUUGCUUUUGAAACCUUUUGAUCAAUUUGAUUAGCUAUCCAAAGAUAAGAUUUGGGAAGGGUGUGACGAUCCCACCUUCUCCUAGGGCAUACCUUAGAAGUUAGCGGAUCGCCUGCCUGGCUCUCGCCAGGACUCACUCACUCACAUUAACUUCAGAAAUAACAAUUCUCAUUAAUCAUCCAAACAUCCACUCUUAAUACUUUUUAGUAAGACAAAAGCUUUAUCUACUACAAAUUACAAAAGUGACUUGUCCAAACAUUCGUACUUAAGUACAUCACCAACUAGUGUGAAAUAGAAAUCUAUCCGUGAAUGGAUACAAAAUGCAAGUCUUAUCAUCAAUAUAUAAUGCUAGACCACUCAAAACACUUUAACGCUAACCGAUCAUCCUUCAAACUUCAACCCCUAUAAGGAAAACAAAGCUAAAAGGGUGAGCUUACGCCCGUGAGGUUUCCAUGCAAGCAACAGUCAAUAAGCACUCAAAUCAGUACAAUUAAGCAAGUAGUGCACAUUUCACUGUACAAUCACUUUCAUUAGCAAUUCAGAAAACACUUCACUGAACAAUCACUUUUAAAAGGAUACGGUGCUCGCAUUAGAGCCACUUCAAUGCACUACACACUCCGCCGAACUCCUCCUUAUAACCUCCAAAACAAUAAACACUUCCCUCACUUGGAUGGCCAUAUCAAUAUCAGUAAUCUACUACUCCGUGGUAAUACUCGAGCAUACCAAAACACUUACCCAAAACUACCGUUCUACCCGAUCAAGCCCUUUGCUGGCUCGAAUAGUCCGUUGAAUAGAGGGUUUUGGGGCCCAGUUCAGCCGGCGUGAUAAAGUACACGCACGGCUUACAGUCAUGCACACUUACAAUAUCACUUGAUCACUUACAAUAUCACUUGAUCAAUUAUCAACCUUCAAGCUCAACUAAGCCAAGUGCGAUAAAGUACACUCUCGACUUAGAAGGCGAGGGACAAUUGAGAUACACUUCCAAUGAAUCACUUAGAAAUAUUUCAUAAUAAGCACAUUUGCCAUAUAAUUGCACUUAGGUACACAUAAGCAGUUUAACACAUAAAUUCGGAAAACACUCACCAAUUAUCCAAAUAAUUUACUCUCGAGCCUCGAGUUUGUUUCCUGGCUCACAGCUAUUUCUUGGGACAAGUUAAUAAUUUCAAGGUAAAUAUAUAAUCUGUAGAUGCUCAUUUAUCAUUCUUACUUUAUUAUUUAAACUAUUAAAAUCAAGUUUGACCUUGAAAUACAAAUAUAUUCUUUAUUUACUAUUUAUCCUACAUUUUAUUUUGAAACUUAUUAAUUUUAUUAUUUAAACCAAGAAUUAUACAUAGGUUCUAAGGUUAUAAUCUUAUAGGUAUUUAAAUUAACUGUAACUUAUUUUCCACUCAAAAUCCUAAGAAGCAAGCUUAGAAACACUCCAUUGGUUCUCCUUUUAACUAGCCAAGGCCUAAGUUGUGUGCACUUUAAAUUUUAUUUCACUACACUAGCCUCUCAAAAUUUUAUAGUCUUUAAAAUAUUUGUGAAGACAAUAUUAAGUAAUUAGAAACCAAUUUAAGUAAUUAGGAGCCAUUUCAUGUAUACAGCCAUAACAAAUUACCUUAGAGUUUCUAAAACAUCAAAUAAGUUUUAACUCAUUGCUAUACAACCCAUCUACAUAAAUUCAGCAAUAAUACUUCAAGUUUUCAUCCUAUAACUUCAUUUUUCGAUUGAUUAAAUCACCAACUACUUAACUUACAUUUAAUCUAAUAUGAAUUAGGAUAAGAAACAUUUAAUUGUAACCAAUGUUUUGUGCAAACUAUGCACACAAAUCAGUCUUAAUUAUUACAGCUUUUAAGCAAUCCCUUAGCUAUGUAUAUAUCGGUCCAAUGUUUGCCAUUUCACUCAAGUUCCUCCUUCCAAGUUUUUUUAUUCCAACUAGACAUGUUAACCACGUUUAUUAAACUACAAAUGAGCCUUGUACAGAACACCAAAUUUUAAUAUCAUAUAAAACACUUGAGCAGUUAAAACUUCAAAGGAAAAGCUGAUGAGAACUUGUUUCUUCCUUCGGACAUGAUGGAUUUUGGACAGCAAUCAGUUUUUAAGCAAGAAUUUCUCCAUUCAUUACUUCAUUAUAUACUCGAAUCUAACAUGCAUGCUAAGAUUAGAAUAUUAUACCAUGGAUUAAGUCUCAACGUAGGUGUUUGGAACCCAAAAAUCUAUAAGGAAACCUGGAAAUUUUCCUAGUUCUUCUCUCGGUCAGCUAAGCAGAAUUUUCACUCAAGUUAUCAACUCCACUCCAGGUUCUCAGGUAAGACAAGGUGAGAACAUAUAGUUCGAGCCUCUGGUAAAAAAUUACUCCAUGCAUUCGAUUAAUAACCGCAUGAUCAGUUUUUUUUUUUUUUUUCUCUCGGAUAGAGCUGAAAAGAUUUCAGCAGAUAACCUCCCUAAACAGGUUCUCCCUUCGGCUGCACUCUUCUUUUCUUUCGUAAGUAAAAUCCAGCAUACCACAGUGAUUAUUCAAGUAUAAUCAAGUGUACUAGAUGAUUAGGGAGUUAUUACAGAAAGUUUAUCAAGUUUAUGGCUGCAACAACAACUCUUGGUUCCUUCAUUGCUGUCCGACAAUAUCCUCCUCAAAAUGGAACUCUACCUUAGCUAGGAACUCAUUUUCUUUGCUAAAUUCCAAUAUGCAAUCCGUAUAUGCGGUUGUAUUCAGGGAAUGAAAGGGAGGUUACAAGAGUCUUACCCUUUUCUGUUACGUUUUUAAUAGUUGCAGCUUCGGUCUCUCUAAUUCUUGCACCAGCUCUCUCUCCCCUUUUUUUUUCCAGGCUUGGCUCGCGGUAUUGAGGCAACUAGCUGAAGAAGUGAAGCGAACCAGUGUCUCUCUCUCCCACUCACUCUCUCGGAUGCAGACUGGAAGCAGUGAAAACCAGAAAUGUUUCUCACCCGGUGGUGUUUUGGAAUGAAUGGUUAUGACCGAAACUCUCUCUCUCGGUUUGGUUUCCAAUGCUUGGUUGGUAAGAAGAGCAUUUGAACAUAUUUCCUUCACUCCACCGACCACUCAAGCUUCUUCAUUCGGUGCUGAUCAAUCCAAUGUUCACCUCAUUCGGUCACUGCAUACUCAGCAGAUUCCUUCGGGGCAACUGUCCAGACGAGAGCUACCCACCGUCCCAAGUCAGCAGCCAAAUUCCAUUUAUUUCCUCUCCACCGUUUGGUCUAAUAGCUAGUUAGUUGACCUCUAAUUGAUUUUAAUUCCUCAAGCAUCCAGUUUGUUUGAUAAAUUUCUAAUGAUUGGGUCUUGGUAGCAUGGUAUUUAAUCUGAAAUUCG
Molecule: long non-coding RNA, 4648 nt
Filed under: Coffea arabica (coffee)
Lineage: Eukaryota; Viridiplantae; Streptophyta; Magnoliopsida; Gentianales; Rubiaceae
Description: long non-coding RNA (CARA_LNC006363)
Source: RNAcentral